UCAGAGAAAAUACACUUGUGCCUCAAACCUGCUAUGGGACUCAGGCUCCUCUGUGGUGUGGCCUUUUGUUUCCUGGGAGUAGGUCUCAUGGAUGCAGAAGUAACCCAAGUCCCAAGAUAUCUGAUCAAAAGAAAGGGAGAGAAAGUGUUUAUGGAAUGUUUACAGGAUAUGGACCAUGACAGAAUGUUCUGGUAUCGACAAGACCCAGCUCUGGGGCUGCAGCUGCUCCACUUCUCAUAUGGGGUUGAAAAUAAUGAGAAAGGAGAUUUCCCCGAUGGGUACAGUGUCUCCAGGAAGAAGAAGGAGGGCUUCUCCCUGAUCCUGGGGUCUGCCAGCACCAAGCAGACAUCUGUGUACCUCUGUGCCAGCAGUAUAUCGUGUUCCUAUAACUCGCCCCUCUACUUUGGGGUCGGCACCAGGCUCACCGUGACAGACGACCUGAACAAGGUGAAACCACCCAAGGUCACUGUGUUUGAACCAUCCGAAGCAGAGAUUGCCCGGACACAGAAGGCCACGCUUGUGUGCCUGGCCACAGGCUUCUACCCCGACCACGUGGAGCUGAGCUGGUGGGUGAAUGGGAAGGAGACCCAGAGUGGGGUCAGCACAGACCCUCAGCCCUACAAGGAGCAGCGCAACCACAGUGACUCCAACUACUGUCUGAGCAGCCGGCUGAGGGUCUCUGCCACCUUCUGGCACAAUCCUCGCAACCACUUCCGCUGCCAAGUGCAGUUCUUUGGGCUAGACGAAGAAGACCAGAAGAAUUGGGAGGACACCCGCCCCAUACCCAUCACCCAGAAUGUCAGUGCUGAGGUCUGGGGCAGAGCAGAUUGUGGCUUCACCUCAAGUUCCUACCAGCAAGGGGUCCUAUCUGCCACCAUCCUCUAUGAGAUCCUUCUGGGGAAGGCCACUGUGUAUGCGGUGCUGGUCAGCGCCUUGGUGCUGAUGGCCAUGCUCAAGAAAAAGGUUUCCUGAGACCAGUUCCAGAUGAACAUCCUCAGACAUUUUUAAUCCAAACCCUAGAUUCACCUUCACAUGCUUCCAGUCUGUGUUCCCAAUGAAGGAUUCUCUCCUCGCCCUCUUAUCUCCUACCUAUAUAAGUAUCUUUCCCUUCUCUCUGCUGCCCUGCAGACUGAGCUCCUCAAUACUGAGUCUGAGAUAAACUAAACCAAUAAAAAUGUUGUGCUGGA
Myotis daubentonii (Daubenton's bat) is the source of this 1187-nucleotide non-coding RNA. Lineage: Eukaryota; Metazoa; Chordata; Mammalia; Chiroptera; Vespertilionidae. The record is from the annotation of a RefSeq genome assembly.